RNAcentral lists this ribosomal RNA (417 nucleotides) under uncultured bacterium. RNAcentral's name for it is "bacterial SSU rRNA". It matches the Rfam family "Bacterial small subunit ribosomal RNA", at positions 28 to 437 of the family's 1533-position model. The record is from RNAcentral.
GAUGAACGCUAGCGACAGGCUUAACACAUGCAAGUCGAGGGGCAGCGGGGUUGUAGCUUGCUAUAACCGCCGGCGACCGGCGCACGGGUGAGUAACACGUAUGCAACCUGCCCGUUGCAGGGGGAUAAGCGGAAGAAAUUCCGUCUAAUACCGCGUAAUAUGAGGUCAAGGCAUCUUAACCACAUUAAAGAUUUAUCGGCAACGGAUGGGCAUGCGGCGCAUUAGCUAGUUGGCGGGUAACGGCCCACCAAGGCGACGAUGCGUAGGGGUUCUGAGAGGAAGGUCCCCCCAACUGGAACUGAGACACGGUCCAGACUCCUACGGGAGGCAGCAGUGAGGAAUAUUGGUCAAUGGUCGAAGACUGAACCAGCCAAGUAGCGUGAAGGAUGAAGGUUCUAUGGAUUGUAAACUCUUUUA